Non-coding RNA from Paramuricea clavata, 717 nucleotides. The record is from the annotation of a GenBank genome assembly. Lineage: Eukaryota; Metazoa; Cnidaria; Anthozoa; Malacalcyonacea; Plexauridae.
GUCAUAUGUCAAUACAAUAUGUGAAUCAACGAGAGUCACUAUAUAUCUUGAUCAUUUUCCGAUUUGUUCGGAGACAAAUGGUGUCUCCAAAACUUCCAAAGAAAGUACAUGUGCAGACAACGUGACACUUUAGACUGCGGAAAAUUUCACAAUCCGUUAUCAAACUAUGUCACAGAAGUGGUAAGGGACUUGUGUGACAACUGAAUGGUAUCUUUUUGUAAUGUUUUUGACCAGGGGUGGGUAUUUCUUUUUUAAUUGAUAUUUGUUGGGUAAUCAAAUAGUUUACUUUUUAAUGGUUGGGUCAGCAAAAUUUUUAGCACUAAAACAUUUCUCUUCGGUGCCACCCCCCCACCAUAAAUAAUGACCGCUCCCUUAUACUGAGUACAGAAAUUUCUGCUAUUAAAAAUAAUAUACUUCACUACAAACAUUAGAUCAUUAAUACAGACCCGUGAUUUAUAGUUCACUGGGACAUUGGCUCUCGCCGGCGUCGCCGCUACAAUAGAGACCUUACGAUUUUAGAACGGCAACCGCGACGGCGACGGCCAAAACAAACUCCUUCAAAUAAAUGGUAGUCGAUAGUUCGUCGUAUAUUAUCAAUCGUGUGAAUUUAAUACAGUCUUAGAAGUUGAAGACAUGGGUUUUAUGAUUGCGAAGAGUUCCUGCUAAACCCAGUUUGAAGUUGCACUUGUUGUGGCUUGAAAUGCAGCCGCUGUAUCA